UGCCCACUUCUCACUAUGUUAUUUGGAUUUUUAUCUUUAAAGAUCAUUCAAGUGGGGGCAAUGGAAAUACUCUAUUAAAACUCAACCAAAUUAUGUGUUUGUCUUGGAUCCUGUCAGAAGAAACAACU
Small nucleolar RNA from Sorex fumeus (smoky shrew), 128 nucleotides. RefSeq annotates it as small nucleolar RNA SNORA27. The record is from RefSeq and is a predicted model, not a curated record. The transcript has a single exon. NCBI's taxonomy places the organism in Eukaryota, Metazoa, Chordata, Mammalia, Eulipotyphla, Soricidae.